UACGUAGGGUGCAAGCGUUGUCCGGAAUUAUUGGGCGUAAAGAGCUCGUAGGCGGCCUGUUGCGUCCGCUGUGAAAGCCCGGGGCUUAACCCCGGGUCGGCAGUGGAUACGGGCAGGCUAGAGGUAGGCAGGGGAGAAUGGAAUUCCCGGUGUAGCGGUGAAAUGCGCAGAUAUCGGGAGGAACACCGGUGGCGAAGGCGGUUCUCUGGGCCUUACCUGACGCUGAGGAGCGAAAGCGUGGGGAGCGAACAGG
Molecule: ribosomal RNA, 253 nt
Filed under: uncultured bacterium
Lineage: Bacteria
Description: partial 16S ribosomal RNA
Rfam family: Bacterial small subunit ribosomal RNA
Source: RNAcentral